Molecule: ribosomal RNA, 496 nt
Filed under: uncultured bacterium
Lineage: Bacteria
Description: partial 16S ribosomal RNA
Rfam family: Bacterial small subunit ribosomal RNA
Source: RNAcentral
AUGAACGCUGGCGGCGUGCCUAAUACAUGCAAGUCGAGCGAACAGACGAGGAGCUUGCUCCUCUGACGUUAGCGGCGGACAGGUGAGUAACACGUGGAUAACCUACCUAUAAGACUGGGAUAACUUCGGGAAACCGGAGCUAAUACCGGAUAAUAUAUUGAACCGCAUGGUUCAAUAGUGAAAGACGGUUUUGCUGUCACUUAUAGAUGGAUCCGCGCCGCAUUAGCUAGUUGGUAAGGUAACGGCUUACCAAGGCGACGAUGCGUAGCCGACCUGAGAGGGUGAUCGGCCACACUGGAACUGAGACACGGUCCAGACUCCUACGGGAGGCAGCAGUAGGGAAUCUUCCGCAAUGGGCGAAAGCCUGACGGAGCAACGCCGCGUGAGUGAUGAAGGUCUUCGGAUCGUAAAACUCUGUUAUUAGGGAAGAACAAAUGUGUAAGUAACUAUGCACGUCUUGACGGUACCUAAUCAGAAAGCCACGGCUAACUACGUG